AUUGAACGCUGGCGGUAUGCUUAACACAUGCAAGUCGAACGGUAACAGGCCUUCGGGCGCUGACGAGUGGCGGACGGGUGAGUAACGCGUAGGAAUCUGCCUCAUAGUGGGGGACAACGUGGGGAAACUCACGCUAAUACCGCAUACGCCCUACGGGGGAAAGCGGGGGAUCUUCGGACCUCGCGCUAUGAGAUGAGCCUGCGUUAGAUUAGCUAGUUGGUAGGGUAAAGGCCUACCAAGGCGACGAUCUAUAGCUGGUCUGAGAGGACGAUCAGCCACACUGGGACUGAGACACGGCCCAGACUCCUACGGGAGGCAGCAGUGGGGAAUAUUGGACAAUGGGCGCAAGCCUGAUCCAGCAAUACCGCGUGUGUGAAGAAGGCCCUAGGGUUGUAAAGCACUUUCAAUUGGGAGGAAAACCUGCCGGUCAAUACCCGGCAGCUCGACAUUACCCUUAGAAGAAGCACCGGCUAACUCCGUGCCAGCAGCCGCGGUAAU
RNAcentral lists this ribosomal RNA (498 nucleotides) under uncultured bacterium. Its description in RNAcentral is "bacterial SSU rRNA". It matches the Rfam family "Bacterial small subunit ribosomal RNA", at positions 30 to 524 of the family's 1533-position model. The record is from RNAcentral.